RNAcentral lists this small RNA (100 nucleotides) under Pan troglodytes (chimpanzee). RNAcentral describes it as "processed transcript". The record is from RNAcentral. RNAcentral also lists the same sequence under 1 other name. Lineage: Eukaryota; Metazoa; Chordata; Mammalia; Primates; Hominidae.
AGAAGACAGAAGAUAAAGAUAAACCCCUUAUUUAUAAAGAUAAAGAAACUGAGGCACAAGGAGUUUAAUUACUUGCCAUAAGUGAAAAUGUUAGUAAAUG